GAUGAACGCUCGCGGGAGGCCUAACACAUGCAAGCUGAGCGGUAGAGUUUCUUCGGAAACUUGAGAGCGGCGCACGGGUGCGUAACACGUGUGCAACCUACCUUUAUCUGGGGGAUAGCCUUUCGAAAGGAAGAUUAAUACCCCAUAAUAUAAUGAUUGGCAUCAAUUAUUAUUGAAAACUCCGGUGGAUAGAGAUGGGCACGCGCAAGAUUAGAUAGUUGGUGAGGUAACGGCUCACCAAGUCAAUGAUCUUUAGGGGUCCUGAGAGGGAGAUCCCCCACACUGGUACUGAGACACGGACCAGACUCCUACGGGAGGCAGCAGUGAGGAAUAUUGGACAAUGGGUGAGAGCCUGAUCCAGCCAUCCCGCGUGAAGGAUGACGGUCCUAUGGAUUGUAAACUUCUUUUGUACAGGGAUAAACCUACCCUCGUGAGGGUAGCUGAAGGUACUGUACGAAUAAGCACCGGCUAACUCCGUG
RNAcentral lists this ribosomal RNA (479 nucleotides) under uncultured bacterium. RNAcentral's name for it is "partial 16S ribosomal RNA". It matches the Rfam family "Bacterial small subunit ribosomal RNA", at positions 28 to 507 of the family's 1533-position model. The record is from RNAcentral.